RNAcentral lists this ribosomal RNA (253 nucleotides) under uncultured bacterium. RNAcentral's name for it is "partial 16S ribosomal RNA". It matches the Rfam family "Bacterial small subunit ribosomal RNA", at positions 524 to 776 of the family's 1533-position model. The record is from RNAcentral.
UACGUAGGGGGCAAGCGUUGUUCGGAAUUACUGGGCGUAAAGCGCGCGUAGGCGGUCUGAAAAGUCAGAUGUGAAAGCCCCGGGCUCAACUUGGGAACUGCAUUUGAUACUGUCAGACUAGAGUACAGAAGAGGUGACUGGAAUUCCCAGUGUAGCGGUGAAAUGCGUAGAUAUUGGGAGGAACACCAGAUGCGAAGGCGGGUCACUGGGCUGAUACUGACGCUGAAGUGCGAAAGCCAGGGGAGCGAACGGG